Long non-coding RNA from Dermacentor silvarum, 1019 nucleotides. RefSeq lists it as uncharacterized. The transcript is spliced from 4 exons. NCBI's taxonomy places the organism in Eukaryota, Metazoa, Arthropoda, Arachnida, Ixodida, Ixodidae. The record is from RefSeq and is a predicted model, not a curated record.
AGCAGCCAACGUUUCUGCGUACACUGUUGCUCUGAUCUCGGCAUCCUGAUCUCUCCAACAACCAUGAAAGCAUCUUGCGUCGUAUCGGUAGUAUUACUUGCAGGAUGCCUGCGGGCUAACAAAGUGGAUUACCAACCGAACCUCCUCAAUGCCCUGUUUGGUAACGUAAUGAAUAACAGAUUCCCACUAAAGGACAUGUAUUUCACUAUACGCCCAGAUGGAGAACCGAAGAACAGUACGCUGUACCGCUUCAACUUGACGAAUGGAAAGAUGCAGAAUAUUGGACACCUGCUCAAACCAAAAUACAAAGAAAAGACCUGUUACGCAGAAUGGACAAGAGGUAUCUUGACUGCACGCUGCGAGUUUAACCUCAAGGACUGCCGCAAUUUCAUACGAAGGCACAAUGUCCUUCGGAAGGCCUGUAGUGCAGCACUUCAACCUUUACGCAUUGAUCACCGAGUUCAUAUGGGGUAGACAUCGGAACCCUGCAUUGCUAUCCAUGUUCAUUUAUUACAACGAGGGAUGCAAGGGCAAAAUGUGCGAUAUACGGUCGUGCUUUAUUACGGACUUCAUGUUGAGUGCAGCGACGUUUCCUACGUUCUGGAAUUUUGACUUCAACCGGUUUCGAACCAAUGCGACUCUAGCUGGUAUAGUGUGGGAAGACUUCGAAGUGAAAAUGUUCACUGAAGUUAGGCUUAAUGUGAUGCGAACCAUCAACUAUACAUGUCAACAAGAAUUGCCUAAAAGAAAUAUAAAAAGAAGUACGCUUUAAAAUAAUUCUAGAAAUUUACUAAAGUUAUGAUGCGAUGAAUAUCCCGAGUGAACACUUUAGGAGAGCCCUGAUAGUGUCCCAUCUUGCCGAAAAUGUGAGAGCGUUUCGAAGUCAAUAUCUACGUGAUUUAACUGUACACUGAACAUAGUCUCAUGGGACCUUUAUCCGGAACACUUUUCAAACAACACAGACUGUUCAUCACCAUUCACCUACACUUACAUUCGAUAGAUUUACCGUUUCCUGUUCA